UCGAAACCUUAUCCCGAACAGGAACGACCCGCGAACGAGUGACCACACACGCSGUGCGUUGGGAACCUYUUCGGUCUCACGCCCGCCGAGUCCGCUGGGUCUCGCGUGGUCCAAAAGAGUUCUCUCGUCGAACCGCUCGUGACUCGGUCGGAAAUCACCAAACCCCGGCGCGAAAAGCGCCNAGGACUAUCUACGAAACAGCUCGGUCGAACACCCCAUACCAGGUGUGUGUCSGAACGUGUUGCUGCGAUCAUAAGUYUAACGACUCUCGSCANCGAAUAUCUNGGCUCUGGCAUCGAUGAAGAACGUAGCGAAAUGCGAUACUUGGUGUGAAUUGAAGAAUCCCGUGAACCAUCGAGUCUUUGAACGCAAGUUGCGCCCCAAGCCGUCAGGCCRAGGGCACGUCUGCCUGGGUGUCACGCAUCGUCGUCCCCCUCCCACCCGGUGCCCACUCGCCCGGGUGAUCAAUAAGCGGAGACGGAGACUGGUCUCCCGUGUGGUCCCGCACGCGGUUGGCCCAAAACCGAGCCACGGGCGCGGAGCGUCCCGACGAGCGGUGGUGUAUACAUGCCUCGUGUACGUCGGGCCGGCUCGCGUCCUAAUGGACUCCAUGACCCUUUAAGAGCCGCCAUGGCGUCUCUCCGAACGCGACCCCAGGUCAGGCGGGA
Molecule: ribosomal RNA, 668 nt
Filed under: Corynandra viscosa (Asian spiderflower)
Lineage: Eukaryota; Viridiplantae; Streptophyta; Magnoliopsida; Brassicales; Cleomaceae
Description: eukaryotic LSU rRNA
Rfam family: 5.8S ribosomal RNA (bases 264-419)
Source: RNAcentral